Molecule: ribosomal RNA, 480 nt
Filed under: Triticum aestivum (bread wheat)
Lineage: Eukaryota; Viridiplantae; Streptophyta; Magnoliopsida; Poales; Poaceae
Description: partial small subunit ribosomal RNA
Source: RNAcentral
AUGUCGAGCCUCGGGGUGGUGGUGGAGCAGUCAUGGCGGACGGUUGGCUCCGGCCACCGUGUAGUUGUGGAGAGGAUCCUGAGAGAGAGGUGGUCGGCGAGCCCGUGCCGGAAGAAAAGUGCUGCCGGUAGGCAAGGUAGGGUGGAUGGUGUCCAUCAUGGUGUUUUCGAAUUUAGUCUAUCGUUAGAUCAGCAUGAGAGAUUUCUACUUGAUUUAGCAGUCAAUGGCAGCACCGAGGUUGAUGGGGUCGCAGAAGCCAUGGCUGCAGCCCCCACCACCAACUCCCUCACCUGUGGAAAGCCACAUGUCAAACCUGGACAUGUCAAAUUAUGUUUUGAUGGUACCGUCUCAUUGGAUGCCCUGUCUGGUCAUCCAGAAGCUCUAUCUGUUAGAUUUAGUUGUGAGAACACUAGAAUGCUUGGAGAUAGAAAUAAUUCCAAUUCACCCGAGUAUUGUUGUGCAUCUUACUACACUGUCUGA